CUGCCUACGGGGGGCAGCAGUGGGGAAUAUUGCACAAUGGGCGAAAGCCUGAUGCAGCAACGCCGCGUGAAGGAAGACGGUUUUCGGAUUGUAAACUUCUAUCAAUAGGGAAGAAAGAAAUGACGGUACCUAAAUAAGAAGCCCCGGCUAACUACGUGCCAGCAGCCGCGGUAAUACGUAGGGGGCAAGCGUUAUCCGGAUUUACUGGGUGUAAAGGGGGCGCAGACGGCAAUGCAAGCCAGGAGUGAAAGCCCGGGGCCCAACCCCGGGACUGCUCUUGGAACUGCAUGGCUGGAGUACAGGAG
RNAcentral lists this ribosomal RNA (305 nucleotides) under uncultured bacterium. RNAcentral's name for it is "bacterial SSU rRNA". It matches the Rfam family "Bacterial small subunit ribosomal RNA", at positions 335 to 654 of the family's 1533-position model. The record is from RNAcentral.